GAUGAACGCUAGCGGCAGGCCUAACACAUGCAAGUCGAACGAACCUUCGGGUUAGUGGCAGACGGGUGAGUAAUGCAUAAGUAACCUACCCUUUAGUCUGGGAUAACUCUUCGAAAGAAGAGCUAAUACCGGAUACUCUCUAUUUUUCUACGGAUUUUUAGAGGAAAGAUUUAUUGCUAAAGGAUGGGCUUAUGUCUGAUUAGCCAGUUGGUAGGGUAAGAGCCUACCAAGGCUACGAUCAGUAGCUGGUCUGAGAGGAUGAUCAGCCACACUGGGACUGAGAUACGGCCCAGACUCCUACGGGAGGCAGCAGUGGGGAAUAUUGCGCAAUGGGCGAAAGCCUGACGCAGCAACGCCGCGUGAGCGAUGAAGCCUUUAGGGGUGUAAAGCUCGGUCAAGAGGAAUGAUUAUGACAGUACCUCUAGUGGAAGUCACGGCUAAUUACG
Molecule: ribosomal RNA, 446 nt
Filed under: uncultured bacterium
Lineage: Bacteria
Description: bacterial SSU rRNA
Rfam family: Bacterial small subunit ribosomal RNA
Source: RNAcentral